UACGUAGGGGGCGAGCGUUAUCCGGAUUUACUGGGUGUAAAGGGAGCGCAGACGGGGUCGCAAGUCAGAUGUGGAAGCCCCGGGCACAACCCGGGGAGCGCAUUUGAAACUGCGGUCCUAGAGUGCUGGAGGGGCAGGCGGAAUUCCUGGUGUAGCGGUGAAAUGCGUAGAUAUCAGGAAGAACACCGGCGGCGAAGGCGGCCUGCUGGACAGCAACUGACGUUGAGGCUCGAAAGCGUGGGGAGCAAAC
RNAcentral lists this ribosomal RNA (250 nucleotides) under uncultured prokaryote. RNAcentral describes it as "partial 16S ribosomal RNA". It matches the Rfam family "Bacterial small subunit ribosomal RNA", at positions 524 to 773 of the family's 1533-position model. The record is from RNAcentral.